GAUGAACGCUGGCGGCGUGCCUAAUACAUGCAAGUCGAGCGAACGGACGAGAAGCUUGCUUCUCUGAUGUUAGCGGCGGACGGGUGAGUAACACGUGGAUAACCUACCUAUAAGACUGGGAUAACUUCGGGAAACCGGAGCUAAUACCGGAUAAUAUUUUGAACCGCAUGGUUCAAAAGUGAAAGACGGUCUUGCUGUCACUUAUAGAUGGAUCCGCGCUGCAUUAGCUAGUUGGUAAGGUAACGGCUUACCAAGGCAACGAUGCAUAGCCGACCUGAGAGGGUGAUCGGCCGCACUGGAACUGAGACACGGUCCAGACUCCUACGGGAGGCAGCAGUAGGGAAUCUUCCGCAAUGGGCGAAAGCCUGACGGAGCAACGCCGCGUGAGUGAUGAAGGUCUUCGGAUCGUAAAACUCUGUUAUUAGGGAAGAACAUAUGUGUAAGUAACUGUGCACAUCUUGACGGUACCUAAUCAGAAAGCCACGGCUAACUACGUGCCAGCAGCCGCGGUAAUACGUAGGUGGCAAGCGUUAUCCGGAAUUAUUGGGCGUAAAGCGCGCGUAGGCGGUUUUUUAAGUCUGAUGUGAAAGCCCACGGCUCAACCGUGGAGGGUCAUUGGAAACUGGAAAACUUGAGUGCAGAAGAGGAAAGUGGAAUUCCAUGUGUAGCGGUGAAAUGCGCAGAGAUAUGGAGGAACACCAGUGGCGAAGGCGACUUUCUGGUCUGUAACUGACGCUGAUGUGCGAAAGCGUGGGGAUCAAACAGGAUUAGAUACCCUGGUAGUCCACGCCGUAAACGAUGAGUGCUAAGUGUUAGGGGGUUUCCGCCCCUUAGUGCUGCAGCUAACGCAUUAAGCACUCCGCCUGGGGAGUACGACCGCAAGGUUGAAACUCAAAGGAAUUGACGGGGACCCGCACAAGCGGUGGAGCAUGUGGUUUAAUUCGAAGCAACGCGAAGAACCUUACCAAAUCUUGACAUCCUUUGACAACUCUAGAGAUAGAGCCUUCCCCUUCGGGGGACAAAGUGACAGGUGGUGCAUGGUUGUCGUCAGCUCGUGUCGUGAGAUGUUGGGUUAAGUCCCGCAACGAGCGCAACCCUUAAGCUUAGUUGCCAUCAUUAAGUUGGGCACUCUAAGUUGACUGCCGGUGACAAACCGGAGGAAGGUGGGGAUGACGUCAAAUCAUCAUGCCCCUUAUGAUUUGGGCUACACACGUGCUACAAUGGACAAUACAAAGGGCAGCGAAACCGCGAGGUCAAGCAAAUCCCAUAAAGUUGUUCUCAGUUCGGAUUGUAGUCUGCAACUCGACUACAUGAAGCUGGAAUCGCUAGUAAUCGUAGAUCAGCAUGCUACGGUGAAUACGUUCCCGGGUCU
This 1372-nucleotide ribosomal RNA is filed under the name uncultured bacterium. Its description in RNAcentral is "bacterial SSU rRNA". It matches the Rfam family "Bacterial small subunit ribosomal RNA", at positions 28 to 1381 of the family's 1533-position model. The record is from RNAcentral.